This 492-nucleotide ribosomal RNA is filed under the name uncultured bacterium. RNAcentral describes it as "partial 16S ribosomal RNA". It matches the Rfam family "Bacterial small subunit ribosomal RNA", at positions 29 to 507 of the family's 1533-position model. The record is from RNAcentral.
AGUGAACGCUGGCGGUAGGCCUAACACAUGCAAGUCGAACGGCAGCACAGUAAGAGCUUGCUCUUACGGGUGGCGAGUGGCGGACGGGUGAGGAAUACAUCGGAAUCUACUUUUUCGUGGGGGAUAACGUAGGGAAACUUACGCUAAUACCGCAUACGACCUACGGGUGAAAGCAGGGGAUCUUCGGACCUUGCGCGAUUGAAUGAGCCGAUGUCGGAUUAGCUAGUUGGCGGGGUAAAGGCCCACCAAGGCGACGAUCCGUAGCUGGUCUGAGAGGAUGAUCAGACACACUGUAACUGAGACACGGUCCAGACUCCUACGGGAGGCAGCAGUGGGGAAUAUUGGACAAUGGGCGCAAGCCUGAUCCAGCCAUACCGCGUGGGUGAAGAAGGCCUUCGGGUUGUAAAGCCCUUUUGUUGGGAAAGAAAAGCAGCAGGUUAAUACCCCGCUGUUCUGACGGUACCCAAAGAAUAAGCACCGGCUAACUUCGUG